This 430-nucleotide ribosomal RNA is filed under the name uncultured bacterium. Its description in RNAcentral is "partial 16S ribosomal RNA". It matches the Rfam family "Bacterial small subunit ribosomal RNA", at positions 29 to 506 of the family's 1533-position model. The record is from RNAcentral.
AACGAACGCUGGCGGCAGGCUUAACACAUGCAAGUCGAACGCCCCGCAAGGGGAGUGGCAGACGGGUGAGUAACGCGUGGGAACAUACCCUUUUCUACGGAAUAGCUCUGGGAAACUGGAAUUAAUACCGUAUACGCCCUACGGGGGAAAGAUUUAUCGGGGAAGGAUUGGCCCGCGUUGGAUUAGCUAGUUGGUGGGGUAAAGGCCUACCAAGGCGACGAUCCAUAGCUGGUCUGAGAGGAUGAUCAGCCACAUUGGGACUGAGACACGGCCCAAACUCCUACGGGAGGCAGCAGUGGGGAAUAUUGGACAAUGGGCGCAAGCCUGAUCCAGCCAGGCCGCGUGAGUGAUGAAGGCCUUAGGGUUGUAAAGCUCUUUCACCGAUGAAGAUAAUGACGGUAGUCGGAGAAGAAGCCCCGGCUAACUUCGU